ACUCGGGUCCAUACAACCCUAAGUCAUUGGCGAACUAAAGUUUCUCCGAGUUUUGAAAUCUUUACUGUUGGCAGACUGCAAACUGAGAUAAUUAUAUUCCUUUCCAAAAAUGGAUUUUCGUCUGAAUGUUUGUCUUUUGUUGAUACUUUUUGUGGCAUUUUCUGACGUUGAUGGCCGUAAAUUUGCCGAAGAUAAAGCGAAUGAUCCUAUUUGUGGUGAUGUUGCUGGUCGAUGUGUUCCGUUUGAUCGAGAUUGCAACCCAAACGAAUAUGGUUGUAACUUUUUUUGCACACCGGGAAACAAAUGCUGUUGCCCGUUCUGAGGUGGAAAAUGAAACCGGAUUCGUCUCUAGAAUAGAAAAAAGUUGUUGAAUGUAAUGCAUCCAAUUUACUUUGAUUAAUUAAAGAGGUUGAUAAAAAAUUCCAG
RNAcentral lists this long non-coding RNA (426 nucleotides) under Dendronephthya gigantea. RNAcentral's name for it is "uncharacterized LOC114533095". Lineage: Eukaryota; Metazoa; Cnidaria; Anthozoa; Malacalcyonacea; Nephtheidae. The record is from RNAcentral.